This 735-nucleotide ribosomal RNA is filed under the name uncultured Synechococcus sp. RNAcentral's name for it is "bacterial SSU rRNA". It matches the Rfam family "Bacterial small subunit ribosomal RNA", at positions 781 to 1515 of the family's 1533-position model. Lineage: Bacteria; Bacillati; Cyanobacteriota; Cyanophyceae; Synechococcales; Synechococcaceae. The record is from RNAcentral.
GAUACCCCUGUAGUCCUGGCCGUAAACGAUGAACACUAGGUGUCGGGGGAAUCAACCCCCUCGGUGUCGUAGCCAACGCGUUAAGUGUUCCGCCUGGGGAGUACGCACGCAAGUGUGAAACUCAAAGGAAUUGACGGGGGCCCGCACAAGCGGUGGAGUAUGUGGUUUAAUUCGAUGCAACGCGAAGAACCUUACCAGGGUUUGACAUCCUGCGAAUCCCUUGGAAACUUGGGAGUGCCUUCGGGAGCGCAGUGACAGGUGGUGCAUGGCUGUCGUCAGCUCGUGUCGUGAGAUGUUGGGUUAAGUCCCGCAACGAGCGCAACCCACGUCUUUAGUUGCCAGCAUUGAGUUGGGCACUCUAGAGAGACUGCCGGUGAUAAACCGGAGGAAGGUGUGGAUGACGUCAAGUCAUCAUGCCCCUUACAUCCUGGGCUACACACGUACUACAAUGCUACGGACAAAGGGCAGCAAACUCGCGAGAGCUAGCAAAUCCCAUAAACCGUGGCUCAGUUCAGAUCGUAGGCUGCAACUCGCCUACGUGAAGGAGGGAUCGCUAGUAAUCGCAGGUCAGCAUACUGCGGUGAAUACGUUCCCGGGCCUUGUACACACCGCCCGUCACACCAUGGAAGUUGGCCAUGCCCGAAGUCGUUACUCCAACCCUUGUGGAGGAGGAUGCCGAAGGUGGGGCUGAUGACUGGGGUGAAGUCGUAACAAGGUAGCCGUACCGGAAGGUGC